This 241-nucleotide long non-coding RNA is filed under the name Amborella trichopoda. RNAcentral's name for it is "long non-coding RNA (ATRI_LNC000379)". Lineage: Eukaryota; Viridiplantae; Streptophyta; Magnoliopsida; Amborellales; Amborellaceae. The record is from RNAcentral.
AAGCAUGGACAGCUUUUUACCAGAAAUAUUCGACUCCUAUUGAAAAGUGGAAUGGUCAUAAUCUCAUUACAUAAUUUACAGAACUACAUUCAAGAUAUGCAUGAACAAAAGAUUGCUACAAAGUUUACAACAGCAUGAGUCCUCGGCUCAAGUGAGAGAGAGAGAGAGAAUGCAGUCCCCCCUCCCCCCAGAAAAGGUUGAGCUCCUAUAGAGAGAGAGAGAGAGAGAGAGAGAGAGAGAC